CCCCAGACUCCUACGGGAGGCAGCCGUGAGGAAUAUUGGUCAAUGGGCUUACGCCUGAACCAGCCCCUUCUCGUGAGGGCAGCCUGCCCUAUGGGUUUUCAACCUCUUUUUUCCGGGAGCAACGCCGGCUACGUGUCUCUUUACUGAGAUUCCCUUAAGAAAACGCCUCUGCUAACUCCUUUCCAGCAGCCUCUUUACUACGGAGUCUGCUCGCGUUAUCCGGAUUUAUUGGGUUUAAAGGGUGCGCAGGCGGAUGGUUAAGUCAGCGGUGAAAUCGUGGGGCGCAACCCCAUCCAGCCGUUGAAACUGGGGAUCUAGAGUGUGCGAGAGGGAUGCGGAAUGCGUGGUGUAGCGGUGAAAUGCAUAGAUAGCACGAAGAACUCCGAUUGCGAAGGCAGCGUACCGGCGCCCAACUGACGCUGAAGCACGAAGGCGUGGGUAGCGAACAGGAUUAGAUACCCGAGUAAA
This 468-nucleotide ribosomal RNA is filed under the name uncultured bacterium. RNAcentral describes it as "bacterial SSU rRNA". It matches the Rfam family "Bacterial small subunit ribosomal RNA", at positions 329 to 794 of the family's 1533-position model. The record is from RNAcentral.